Molecule: long non-coding RNA, 346 nt
Filed under: Hordeum vulgare
Lineage: Eukaryota; Viridiplantae; Streptophyta; Magnoliopsida; Poales; Poaceae
Description: long non-coding RNA (HVUL_LNC016822)
Source: RNAcentral
CUCGGGCGAGUGAAUCGUUUUCUUUUGCGGGGGAGGCUGAUUCCAAUGAAAUCGGAGGGGCUAGCCUCUGUAUCGUUGGAGGGCUCUUCUCAUCCGAGAUAUUCAGUGCUGUAUUGAAAAUAUUUCAUACUGGUAUUUCCAGUUACAACCCAAACAACUGAAUCUAUAUUUUUUGGAAUACCAAAUCCAUUACAAGGCCCAAAUACACACAUCCAAACCGGAUGUAAAAAAUACUAUGAAGUUGCCUAUUAGUUCACCAUUAGUAGGGCUACUGAAGGAAACAUUUAUGGACAACUUUUUUCUAAGUUCACCAUUGAUGGGGAUAUUAGAGGAAAAACAAGAAAAA